Molecule: unclassified non-coding RNA, 200 nt
Filed under: uncultured fungus
Lineage: Eukaryota; Fungi
Description: sequence contains ITS2
Source: RNAcentral
UUAAGUUCAGGGGGUAUCCCUACCUGAUCUGAGGUCAAGAUUUUAAAUAAAUCGUUCAGUUGGCAGACAACUAUCCAGUUGCUUUGACGAGGAAUUACUUACUACGUCUUACAAGCUGAAUAGCGUCGCCAAUAGCUUAAAGGAGAGAGGCAAAGCCACUUCUCCCAAUACCAAACUAAAGUUUGAUUGAUUUAUUGACG